RNAcentral lists this ribosomal RNA (255 nucleotides) under uncultured bacterium. Its description in RNAcentral is "partial 16S ribosomal RNA". It matches the Rfam family "Bacterial small subunit ribosomal RNA", at positions 526 to 779 of the family's 1533-position model. The record is from RNAcentral.
CGUAGGGUCCGAGCGUUGUCCGGAAUUAUUGGGCGUAAAGGGCUUGUAGGCGGUCCGUCGCGUCAGAAGUGAAAACUCAGGGCUUAACCCUGAGCCUGCUUUUGAUACGGGCGGACUAGAGGGAUGCGAGGGGAGAACGGAAUUCCUGGUGGAGCGGUGGAAUGCGCAGAUAUCAGGAGGAACACCGGUGGCGAAGGCGGUUCUCUGGGCAUUACCUGACGCUGAGAAGCGAAAGCGUGGGGAGCAAACAGGCUU